GAUGAACGCUGGCGGCGUGCCUAAUACAUGCAAGUCGAGCGAACGGACGAGAAGCUUGCUUCUCUGAUGUUAGCGGCGGACGGGUGAGUAACACGUGGAUAACCUACCUAUAAGACUGGGAUAACUUCGGGAAACCGUAGCUAAUACCGGAUAAUAUUUUGAACCGCAUGGUUCAAAAGUGAAAGACGGUCUUGCUGUCACUUAUAGAUGGAUCCGCGCUGCAUUAGCUAGUUGGUAAGGUAACGGCUUACCAAGGCAACGAUGCAUAGCCGACCUGAGAGGGUGAUCGGCCACACUGGAACUGAGACACGGUCCAGACUCCUACGGGAGGCAGCAGUAGGGAAUCUUCCGCAAUGGGCGAAAACCUGACGGAGCAACGCCGCGUGAGUGAUGAAGGUCUUCGGAUCGUAAAACUCUGUUAUUAGGGAAGAACAUAUGUGUAAGUAACUGUGCACAUCUUGACGGUACCUAAUCAGAAAGCCACGGCUAACUACGUG
This 497-nucleotide ribosomal RNA is filed under the name uncultured bacterium. RNAcentral's name for it is "partial 16S ribosomal RNA". It matches the Rfam family "Bacterial small subunit ribosomal RNA", at positions 28 to 507 of the family's 1533-position model. The record is from RNAcentral.